RNAcentral lists this ribosomal RNA (466 nucleotides) under uncultured bacterium. Its description in RNAcentral is "bacterial SSU rRNA". It matches the Rfam family "Bacterial small subunit ribosomal RNA", at positions 329 to 793 of the family's 1533-position model. The record is from RNAcentral.
UUCCAGACUCCUACGGGAGGCAGCAGUGAGGAAUAUUGGUCAAUGGCCGCAGGGCUGAACCAGCCAAGUCGCGUGAGGGAUGACGGUCCUAUGGAUUGUAAAACUCUUUUGUCAGGGAGCAAAGGGCGCCACGUGUGGCGCUUUGCGAGUACCUGAAGAAAAAGCAUCGGCUAACUCCGUGCCAGCAGCCGCGGUAAUACGGAGGAUGCGAGCGUUAUCCGGAUUUAUUGGGUUUAAAGGGUGCGUAGGCGGUCCGUUAAGUCAGCGGUAAAAUUGCAGGGCUCAACCCCGUCGAGCCGUUGAAACUGGCAGACUUGAGUUGGCGAGAAGUACGCGGAAUGCGCGGUGUAGCGGUGAAAUGCAUAGAUAUCGCGCAGAACUCCGAUUGCGAAGGCAGCGUACCGGCGCCAGACUGACGCUGAGGCACGAAAGCGUGGGGAUCGAACAGGAUUAGAUACCCCGGUAA